GCUUCUAUAGUUUUGGGCGUGUGUACAGAUAGGGGCUUCGCUUCCGGUGUGUUUGCCUAAGCGAAGGUACUGUUUGAUAACUUGGCAUUAGUCCAUAUGUGCUAGAUUGCCAUACCUUAACGUAAUAACGGGUGUAAAUUAGUCUUAUGAACGAAAAGCGCCUCGUAACAUCGAUGGUGACUGCAGCUGCACCCAACACCCUCAUGUAGGUCAACCCACGAUAGGGCUUAAAGGUACAUUGCGAGCAACGUGUUUUGUAGUAUUACUGUUCUGCCUUAGUAUAGCGCAGGCUCGCUCUCUCGGACGGAUGGAGGUGUAAGUGUAUUGUCAGCGGCUUGGUUUGGGUUUGUGUGGAACUUUAUGAAAACAAUACAAUACAGAAAAUGAUAUUCCACGUGACUGCUGUUUUCUCUAUUGUUCUCUAUAUCGUUAUAUUAUGUUCCGUGACUUUGCUGUUUCCUCCAUUGUUCUCUAUAUCGUUGUAUUCAGAUUUGGAACUGCUCAUCAAGCUGCGGACAUUGAUUUUACUUCUUACUGUGAUGUUCUGUACAGUGUCCUAUAUUUUUACAAGCAGUGCUUCUGUUUUUGAGUAGUCUCUAGAAUGGCUCGGUAUAUACUUAAUACAUUUAUAUUCAACAGAAAUAUUGAGUGGAGCGACGAAACUACCGGAAUGGAACCUUUACCGAGGCCAGCGCGAUAAUGGCUGUUGUGAGGAAUGUUCUUGAUCUGUCCAAGCAUCCAUGAUUGAAGUGUCCAGCUCGUGAGGUGUCCAGCUCGUGACGCAAUCUGCAAUAAAUGUCGGAAGAGUGGAAAUCACGCUUAAGCCUGUCGUUGUGCUGCCACAUAAUUGGUAGAAAUCCCUAAGUGCUGCUACUACUGAAGGGAGAAACUAAACCGGUGUGUCCUGCCAAUCCCCAUCCUGCGGCAGGAAACUAGCUUUGUUGCAGUGGGAGUCUGCCUUCCUUCACCUUCCAGGGAAGGGAUGAGAAACUUCUGUUCUGCCUCACACCUCCUCUCUGUCCUGCCAUCGAAGGAGGAAGGAUUCCUAUUCUAGAUCAGAAGUAAAUACUGCAUUGUACUAGUAUGUAUGUUGUAUGGUGUUUAGUAUUAUAAGCUUCAGAAUAGCUUGAGGUCUAUCUUUACCACAUCAGGUGUCCUACCUGACCUUUUAUCGAACGCGCGCGCGCGCGCGCACACACACGCACGUUUUUCAUGACAACAGCUGCUCACCACUCCCUCGUGUAGGUAUAUCCAUGACAGGACGCGUGUACAUUGAACAAGGUGUUCUUAAGGUUUAAAGGAAUUUUUCAUGAUUUGUUACGUGUUGCAAGUACUGAAGGAAAAACCAAGCAGUGUACCCUGCCACCAAUCCCUAUCCUGCUGCAGGAAACCGACCAUGUUGCACUGGAAGAUUAGAUGCCAUCUUCUGCAGAGACUUCUGCCUCACACCUCCACUCUGACCUGCCAAUACAUGCUGCCAUGCUCUGUAAUGUUAUGGCUUCCUUUUCCUGUACCUGUAAAUGUACCUGCCUGUAGUGCUAUUACUGUAUAAUAAAAAUUAUAAAUUCUUGUU
Molecule: long non-coding RNA, 1573 nt
Organism: Scylla paramamosain (green mud crab)
Lineage: Eukaryota; Metazoa; Arthropoda; Malacostraca; Decapoda; Portunidae
Exons: 2
Source: RefSeq, a predicted model, not a curated record